GAAUUCGCCCUUAUAGUUUGAUCCUGGCUCAAGAUGAACGCUGGCGGCGUGCUUAACACAUGCAAGUCGAACGAAGAUGCCGGAGUGCUUGCACUUUGGCAGACUGAGUGGCGGACGGGUGAGUAACGCGUGGGUAACCUGCCUUAUACAGGGGGAUAACAGUUGGAAACGACUGCUAAUACCGCAUAAGCGCACGGUAUCGCAUGAUACAGUGUGAAAAACUCCGGUGGUAUAAGAUGGACCCGCGUCUGAUUAGCUUGUUGGUGAGGUAACGGCCCACCAAGGCGACGAUCAGUAGCCGGCCUGAGAGGGUGAACGGCCACAUUGGGACUGAGACACGGCCCAAACUCCUACGGGAGGCAGCAGUGGGGAAUAUUGCACAAUGGGGGAAACCCUGAUGCAGCGACGCCGCGUGAGUGAUGAAGUAUUUCGGUAUGUAAAACUCUAUCAGCAGGGAAGAUAAUGACGGUACCUGACUAAGAAGCACCGGCUAAAUACGUGCCAGCAGCCGCGGUAAUACGUAUGGUGCAAGCGUUAUCCGGAUUUACUGGGUGUAAAGGGUGCGUAGGUAGUAUGGCAAGUCAGAAGUGAAAGGCUGGGGCUCAACCCCGGGACUGCUUUUGAAACUGUCAAACUAGAGUACAGGAGAGGAAAGCGGAAUUCCUAGUGUAGCGGUGAAAUGCGUAGAUAUUAGGAGGAACACCAGUGGCGAAGGCGGCUUUCUGGACUGAAACUGACACUGAGGCACGAAAGCGUGGGGAGCAAACAAAAGUAGAUACCCUGGUAGUCCACGCCGUAAACGA
This 803-nucleotide ribosomal RNA is filed under the name uncultured bacterium. RNAcentral's name for it is "bacterial SSU rRNA". It matches the Rfam family "Bacterial small subunit ribosomal RNA", at positions 1 to 809 of the family's 1533-position model. The record is from RNAcentral.